CUCUUAUUCAGAGUGACGGAGAGUAAAGGCUCUAUGAAGUCACGGCAACCCCCUUUGCGGAAGGUGCCAACCUGAGCGAGUAAUCGAACAAUAAGAG
Regulatory RNA element from Anaerocolumna xylanovorans DSM 12503, 97 nucleotides. It matches the Rfam family "SAM riboswitch aptamer (S box leader)". Rfam says of the family: The SAM riboswitch is found upstream of a number of genes which code for proteins involved in methionine or cysteine biosynthesis in Gram-positive bacteria. The SAM riboswitch acts at the level of transcription termination control. Lineage: Bacteria; Bacillati; Bacillota; Clostridia; Lachnospirales; Lachnospiraceae. The record is from Rfam.